GGCGUCAUAGCCAAGCGGUAAGGCAUGGGUCUGCAAAACCCUGAUGCCCCAGUUCGAAUCUGGGUGACGCCUCCA
Molecule: transfer RNA, 75 nt
Filed under: Oscillospiraceae bacterium
Lineage: Bacteria; Bacillati; Bacillota; Clostridia; Eubacteriales; Oscillospiraceae
Description: tRNA-Cys
Rfam family: tRNA
About the family: Transfer RNA (tRNA) molecules are approximately 80 nucleotides in length.
Source: RNAcentral